GACGAACGCUGGCGGCGUGCUUAACACAUGCAAGUCGAACGGAAAGACCCUGCUUUUGUGGGGUGCCCGAGUGGCGAACGGGUGAGUAACACGUGAGUAACCUGCCCUUGACUUUGGGAUAACUUCAGGAAACUGGGGCUAAUACCGGAUAGGAGCUCCUGCUGCAUGGUGGGGGUUGGAAAGUUUCGGCGGUUGGGGAUGGACUCGCGGCUUAUCAGCUUGUUGGUGGGGUAGUGGCUUACCAAGGCUUUGACGGGUAGCCGGCCUGAGAGGGUGACCGGCCACAUUGGGACUGAGAUACGGCCCAGACUCCUACGGGAGGCAGCAGUGGGGAAUAUUGCACAAUGGGCGGAAGCCUGAUGCAGCAACGCCGCGUGCGGGAUGACGGCCUUCGGGUUGUAAACCGCUUUCGCCUGUGACGAAGCGUGAGUGACGGUAAUGGGUAAAGAAGCACCGGCUAACUACGUG
This 468-nucleotide ribosomal RNA is filed under the name uncultured bacterium. Its description in RNAcentral is "partial 16S ribosomal RNA". It matches the Rfam family "Bacterial small subunit ribosomal RNA", at positions 28 to 507 of the family's 1533-position model. The record is from RNAcentral.